CCUACGGGUGGCAGCAGUGGGGAAUAUUGCACAAUGGGGGAAACCCUGAUGCAGCGACGCCGCGUGAGUGAAGAAGUAAUUCGUUAUGUAAAGCUCUAUCAGCAGGGAAGAAAAUGACGGUACCUGAGUAAGAAGCCCCGGCUAACUACGUGCCAGCAGCCGCGGUAAUAAGUAGGGGGCAAGCGUUAUCCGGAUUUACUGGGUGUAAAGGGAGCGGAGACGGCAGUGCAAGUCUGGAGUGAAAGGCGGGGGCUCAACCCCCGGACUGCUCUGGAAACUGUACGGCUGGAGUGCAGGAGGGGGAAGUGGAAUUCCUAGUGUAGCGGUGAAAUGCGUAGAUAUUAGGAGGAACACCAGUGGCGAAGGCGGCUUACUGGACUGUAACUGACGUUGAGGCUCGAAAGCGUGGGGAGCAAACAGGAUUAGAUACCCUUGUAGUC
Molecule: ribosomal RNA, 440 nt
Filed under: uncultured bacterium
Lineage: Bacteria
Description: partial 16S ribosomal RNA
Rfam family: Bacterial small subunit ribosomal RNA
Source: RNAcentral